UCUAUUAAAAUCUGGAGUAAAUGUUUUCAGACUCAACAUAUGUUUGAGCAGCUUUCAGGUCUUCAACAAAAGGAAAAGAAUCUGAUGGAGGUUAAUAGGGCUCUGAGGAGCAAGCUCGAAGAAACUAAUGCAGCAAUACGAGAAACCUGGCAACAAGGGGAACGGAACAUGCCCUAUCGACCCCUGCAGCUGGCUCAGCCUGAGGCAUUUCUG
This is a non-coding RNA of Sesamum indicum (sesame), 213 nucleotides long. The record is from RefSeq and is a predicted model, not a curated record. NCBI's taxonomy places the organism in Eukaryota, Viridiplantae, Streptophyta, Magnoliopsida, Lamiales, Pedaliaceae.